AGAAUCAACGCUGGCGGCGUGCCUAACACAUGCAAGUCGAACGCGAGAGUCCCGCAAGGGACAAUUGAGUGGCAAACGGGUGAGUAACACGUGGGUGACCUGCCUUCGAGUGGGGGAUAACGUCCCGAAAGGGACGCUAAUACCGCAUGACAUCCUGCCUUUGGACAGGCGGAGAUCAAAGCCGGGAUCGCAAGACCUGGCGCUUGGAGAGGGCCCGCGUCUGAUUAGCUAGUUGGUGAGGUAACGCUCACCAAGGCGACGAUCAGUA
Molecule: ribosomal RNA, 268 nt
Filed under: uncultured soil bacterium
Lineage: Bacteria
Description: partial 16S ribosomal RNA
Rfam family: Bacterial small subunit ribosomal RNA
Source: RNAcentral